RNAcentral lists this ribosomal RNA (459 nucleotides) under uncultured bacterium. RNAcentral's name for it is "partial 16S ribosomal RNA". It matches the Rfam family "Bacterial small subunit ribosomal RNA", at positions 338 to 795 of the family's 1533-position model. The record is from RNAcentral.
CCUACGGGUGGCAGCAGUGAGGAAUAUUGGUCAAUGGCCGGAAGGCUGAACCAGCCAAGCCGCGUGAAGGACGAAGGUGCCAAGCAUUGUAAACUUCUUUUGUCAAGGGACAAAAUCAGGCUCGAGAGCCUGACCGAGGGUACUUGAAGAAAAAGCAUCGGCUAACUCCGUGCCAGCAGCCGCGGUAAUACGGAGGAUGCGAGCGUUAUCCGGAUUUAUUGGGUUAAAAGGGUGCGUAGGCGGGCUGUUAAGUCAGCGGUAAAAGCCCGGGGCGCAACCCCGGCGAGCCGUUGAAACUGGCUGUCGUGAGAUGUCGGGAGGUAUGCGGAAUGCGCAGUGUAGCGGUGAAAUGCUUAGAUAUUGCGCAGAACUCCGAUUGCGAAGGCAGCAUACCGGCGGCGAUCUGACGCUGAGGCACGAAAGCGUGGGUAUCGAACAGGAUUAGAUACCCCAGUAGUC